RNAcentral lists this ribosomal RNA (852 nucleotides) under Triticum aestivum (bread wheat). Its description in RNAcentral is "partial small subunit ribosomal RNA". Lineage: Eukaryota; Viridiplantae; Streptophyta; Magnoliopsida; Poales; Poaceae. The record is from RNAcentral.
AUGCGCUCCGACGAGCACACGUUCGGCACCGACGGCGUGGAGCUGCAGUUCUUUCACGGGCACGACGUCGACGAGGACGAGGACGGCAGCACCAUGUUCGCGGACGAGGAAGCCUCGGCAGAGUCAUCAUCGGCGACGGCUCUGGACGCGGCGAAGCGGGCGGCGGUGGGAGUGGGCGCGCGGGUGCUCUUCUACCCGAAGAUGGCCUACAAGCUGGUGGCCGGCCGGCCUGCUCGGGGUAAAGCCUCGGAGGAGCCGUCGUCAUCGUCGGCGACGACUCUAGACGCGGCGAAGCACGCGGCGGUGGGCAUGGGCGCGCGGGCGCUCUUCUACCCGACGCUCGCCUACAGCCUGGCCCGGUACCGCCUCUCAUCCGAAUUCCACUGGUGGAACCUCAUCGAAGGCACCCACAUCUACCUCGGCGCCGUCCCGUUCCCGAGCGACGUGCCGCGCCUGCACGACCUGGGCGUCCGCGACGUGGUGACCCUCACCGAGCCCUACGAGCGGCUGGUGCCCAAGUCGCUGUACAUUAAACACAAGAUGGAGAACCUGGUGCUGCCAACCACUGACUACCUCUACGCGCCGUCCAAGGACGACCUCUGCCGUGCCGCGGCGUUCAUCCACAGCAGCGGGGAGCGAGGGAGAAAGACGUACGUGCACUGCAAGGCCGGGCGCGCGCGCAGCGCCACGGUGGUUAUGUGCUACCUGGUGCGGUACAAGGGGAUGACGGCGAAGGAGGCGUACGAUCACGUGCGGUGGUGCCGGCCCAGGGUGUCGCUGGCUCCGGCGCAGUGGCAGGCGGUCCAGGACUUCGAGGACUUCUACCGGCGGCCGGCCGGUGGCUCGGAGUGA